This 562-nucleotide ribosomal RNA is filed under the name uncultured Gammaproteobacteria bacterium. Its description in RNAcentral is "bacterial SSU rRNA". It matches the Rfam family "Bacterial small subunit ribosomal RNA", at positions 45 to 598 of the family's 1533-position model. Lineage: Bacteria; Pseudomonadati; Pseudomonadota; Gammaproteobacteria. The record is from RNAcentral.
UGCCUACACAUGCAAGUCGAACGGAAACGAUGGGUAGCUUGCUCCCAGGCGUCGAGUGGCGGACGGGUGAGUAAUACUUAGGAAUCUGCCCAUUAGUGGGGGACAACUAGAAGAAAUUCUAGCUAAUACCGCAUACGCCCUACGGGGGAAAGCGGGGGAUCUUCGGACCUCGCGCUAAUGGAUGAGCCUAAGUCGGAUUAGCUUGUUGGUGAGGUAAAAGCUCACCAAGGCGACGAUCCGUAGCUGGUCUGAGAGGACGAUCAGCCACACUGGGACUGAGACACGGCNCAGACUCAUACGGGAGGCAGCAGUGGGGAAUAUUGGACAAUGGGCGAAAGCCUGAUCCAGCAAUGCCGCGUGUGUGAAGAAGGCCUGCGGGUUGUAAAGCACUUUCAGUAGAGAAGAAAAGCCUACGGUUAAUAACCGUGAGUCUUGACGUAACCUACAGAAGAAGCACCGGCUAACUCCGUGCCAGCAGCCGCGGUAAUACGGAGGGUGCAAGCGUUAAUCGGAAUUACUGGGCGUAAAGCGCGCGUAGGCGGCUUUGUAAGUCGGAUGUGAA